AUGCACCCCGAUGAGAAGGAAGCCGUCAUCGACGACCUCAUGGCGUUCCAGGAGAGCAAGGAAUACUAUGCCAAGGUCGGCAAGGCAUGGAAGCGCGGGUACCUCCUUUACGGACCGCCCAGCACUGGCAAGUCCACCAUGAUCGCUGCCAUGGCCAACUUCCUUGUCUACGACGUCUACGACCUCGAGCUCACGGCGGUCAAGAACAACACCGAGUUGCGGAAGCUCUUCAUCGAAACAACGGGCAAGUCCAUCAUCGUCAUAGAGGAUAUUGACUGCUCCGUCGACUUCAGAGGAAAACGCCGCAAGGACAAGAAGGCCUCAAGCGACAAGGACUCCGACAACGGUGACAAGCCCAAGCUACCGAUAGAGCCGGAGAAGGACGAUGCCACCAAGGUGACGCUCUCGGGGCUACUUAACUUCAUCGACGGGCUGUGGUCUGCUUGCGGAGGUGAGCGGAUCAUCAUCUUCACCACCAACCACAAGGAGAAGCUGAACCCGGCGCUGAUCCGGCGGGGCAGGAUGGACAAGCACAUCAAGAUGUCUUACUGCCGCUUUGAGGGCUUCAAGGUGCUAGCCAAGAACUACCUAGAUGUCAUUGAGCACGAGCGGUUUGGGGAAGUUCAGCGCCUGCUCGAGGAGACCGACAUGUUGCCCACUGACGUUGCAGAGAACCUGAUGGCAGUAGCGGAUCUAGCCCAAUGGGCCAGGGUGGAC
This 717-nucleotide ribosomal RNA is filed under the name Triticum aestivum (bread wheat). Its description in RNAcentral is "partial small subunit ribosomal RNA". Lineage: Eukaryota; Viridiplantae; Streptophyta; Magnoliopsida; Poales; Poaceae. The record is from RNAcentral.